This 468-nucleotide ribosomal RNA is filed under the name uncultured bacterium. RNAcentral's name for it is "partial 16S ribosomal RNA". It matches the Rfam family "Bacterial small subunit ribosomal RNA", at positions 28 to 507 of the family's 1533-position model. The record is from RNAcentral.
GACGAACGCUGGCGGCGUGCUUAACACAUGCAAGUCGAACGGAAAGGCCCUGCUUUUGUGGGGUGCUCGAGUGGCGAACGGGUGAGUAACACGUGAGUAACCUGCCCUUGACUUUGGGAUAACUUCAGGAAACUGGGGCUAAUACCGGAUAGGAGCUCCUGCUGCAUGGUGGGGGUUGGAAAGUUUCGGCGGUUGGGGAUGGACUCGCGGCUUAUCAGCUUGUUGGUGGGGUAGUGGCUUACCAAGGCUUUGACGGGUAGCCGGCCUGAGAGGGUGACCGGCGACCUUGGGACUGAGAUACGGAGCAGACUCCUACGGGAGGCAACAGUGGGGAAUAUUGCACAAUGAGCGCAAGCCUGAUGCAGCAACGCCGCGUGCGGAAUGACGGCCUUCGGGUUGUAAACCGCUUUCGCCUGUGACGAAGCGUGAGUGACGGUAAUGGGUAAAGAAGCACCGGCUAACUACGUG